This 253-nucleotide ribosomal RNA is filed under the name uncultured bacterium. RNAcentral describes it as "partial 16S ribosomal RNA". It matches the Rfam family "Bacterial small subunit ribosomal RNA", at positions 524 to 776 of the family's 1533-position model. The record is from RNAcentral.
UACGUAGGCAGCGAGCGUUGUUCGGAGUUACUGGGCGUAAAGGGUGUGUAGGCGGUUCUUUAAGUUUGGUGUGAAAUCUCCCGGCUCAACCGGGAGGGUGCGCCGAAUACUGAGGGACUAGAGUACGGGAGAGGAAAGUGGAAUUCCUGGUGUAGCGGUGAAAUGCGUAGAUAUCGCUUGGAACGCCGAAGGUGAAAACAGGCUGCUGGGGUUGCGCCGACGCUGAGACACGAAAGCCAGGGGAGCAAACGGG